GGAUGAGUUGCGAACGGGUGAGUAACGCGUAGGUAACCUGCCUUGUAGCGGGGGAUAACUAUUGGAAACGAUAGCUAAUACCGCAUAACAAUGGAUGACACAUGUCAUUUAUUUGAAAGGGGCAAUUGCUCCACUACAAGAUGGACCUGCGUUGUAUUAGCUAGUAGGUGAGGUAAUGGCUCACCUAGGCGACGAUACAUAGCCGACCUGAGAGGGUGAUCGGCCACACUGGGACUGAGACACGGCCCAGACUCCUACGGGAGGCAGCAGUAGGGAAUCUUCGGCAAUGGGGGCAACCCUGACCGAGCAACGCCGCGUGAGUGAAGAAGGUUUUCGGAUCGUAAAGCUCUGUUGUAAGUCAAGAACGGGUGUGAGAGUGGAAAGUUCACACUGUGACGGUAGCUUACCAGAAAGGGACGGCUAACUACGUGCCAGCAGCCGCGGUAAUACGUAGGUCCCGAGCGUUGUCCGGAUUUAUUGGGCGUAAAGCGAGCGCAGGCGGUUUGAUAAGUCUGAAGUUAAAGGCUGUGGCUCAACCAUAGUUCGCUUUGGAAACUGUCAAACUUGAGUGCAGAAGGGGAGAGUGGAAUUCCAUGUGUAGCGGUGAAAUGCGUAGAUAUAUGGAGGAACACCGGUGGCGAAAGCGGCUCUCUGGUCUGUAACUGACGCUGAGGCUCGAAAGCGUGGGGAGCGAACAGGAUUAGAUACCCUGGUAGUCCACGCCGUAAACGAUGAGUGCUAGGUGUUGGAUCCUUUCCGGGAUUCAGUGCCGCAGCUAACGCAUUAAGCACUCCGCCUGGGGAGUACGACCGCAAGGUUGAAACUCAAAGGAAUUGACGGGGGCCCGCACAAGCGGUGGAGCAUGUGGUUUAAUUCGAAGCAACGCGAAGAACCUUACCAGGUCUUGACAUCCCGAUGCUAUUUCUAGAGAUAGAAAGUUACUUCGGUACAUCGGUGACAGGUGGUGCAUGGUUGUCGUCAGCUCGUGUCGUGAGAUGUUGGGUUAAGUCCCGCAACGAGCGCAACCCCUAUUGUUAGUUGCCAUCAUUCAGUUGGGCACUCUAGCGAGACUGCCGGUAAUAAACCGGAGGAAGGUGGGGAUGACGUCAAAUCAUCAUGCCCCUUAUGACCUGGGCUACACACGUGCUACAAUGGUUGGUACAACGAGUUGCGAGUCGGUGACGGCGAGCUAAUCUCUUAAAGCCAAUCUCAGUUCGGAUUGUAGGCUGCAACUCGCCUACAUGAAGUCGGAAUCGCUAGUAAUCGCGGAUCAGCACGCCGCGGUGAAUACGUUCCCGGGCCUUGUACACACCGCCCGUCACACCACGAGAGUUUGUAA
RNAcentral lists this ribosomal RNA (1339 nucleotides) under Streptococcus thermophilus. Its description in RNAcentral is "bacterial SSU rRNA". It matches the Rfam family "Bacterial small subunit ribosomal RNA", at positions 89 to 1417 of the family's 1533-position model. The record is from RNAcentral. Lineage: Bacteria; Bacillati; Bacillota; Bacilli; Lactobacillales; Streptococcaceae.